GGAUUAGAUACCCUGGUAGUCCACGCUGUAAACGCUGUCUACUAGCAGCUUGAUUCUUUUAUAGAAUUGUUUUGCGUAGCUAACGCGAUAAGUAGACCGCCUGGGGAGUACGGCCGCAAGGUUAAAACUCAAAUGAAUUGACGGGGGCCCGCACAAGCGGUGGAGCAUGUGGUUUAAUUCGAUGCAACGCGAAGAACCUUACCAUCCCUUGACAUCCUACUAAGAAGCUAGAGAUAGUUUUGUGCCUUCGGGAAAGUAGAGACAGGUGCUGCACGGCUGUCGUCAGCUCGUGCCG
Molecule: ribosomal RNA, 295 nt
Filed under: uncultured bacterium
Lineage: Bacteria
Description: partial 16S ribosomal RNA
Rfam family: Bacterial small subunit ribosomal RNA
Source: RNAcentral